GAUGAACGCUGGCGGCGUGCCUAAUACAUGCAAGUCGAGCGAAUGGAUUAAGAGCUUGCUCUUAUGAAGUUAGCGGCGGACGGGUGAGUAACACGUGGGUAACCUGCCCAUAAGACUGGGAUAACUCCGGGAAACCGGGGCUAAUACCGGAUAACACUUUGAACCGCAUGGUUCGAAAUUGAAAGGCGGCUUCGGCUGUCACUUAUGGAUGGACCCGCGUCGCAUUAGCUAGUUGGUGAGGUAACGGCUCACCAAGGCAACGAUGCGUAGCCGACCUGAGAGGGUGAUCGGCAACCCUGGGACUGAGACACGGCCCAGGCUCCUACGGGAGGCAGAAGUAGGGAAUCUUCCGCAAUGGACGAAAGUCUGACGGAGCAACGCCGCGUGAGUGAUGAAGGCUUUCGGGUCGUAAAACUCUGUUGUUAGGGAAGAACAAGUGCUAGUUGAAUAAGCUGGCACCUUGACGGUACCUAACCAGAAAGCCACGGCUAACUACGUGCCAGCCGCCGCAGUAA
RNAcentral lists this ribosomal RNA (515 nucleotides) under uncultured bacterium. RNAcentral describes it as "partial 16S ribosomal RNA". It matches the Rfam family "Bacterial small subunit ribosomal RNA", at positions 28 to 523 of the family's 1533-position model. The record is from RNAcentral.